UAGGGAAUCUUCCACAAUGGACGCAAGUCUGAUGGAGCAACGCCGCGUGAGUGAAGAAGGUUUUCGGUUCGUAAAGCUCUGUUGUUGGUGAAGAAGGAUAGAGGCAGUAACUGGUCUUUAUUUGACGGUAAUCAACCAGAAAGUCACGGCUAACUACGUGCCAGCAGCCGCGGUAAUACGUAGGUGGCAAGCGUUGUCCGGAUUUAUUGGGCGUAAAGCGAGCGCAGGCGGAAUGAUAAGUCUGAUGUGAAAGCCCACGGCUCAACCGUGGAACUGCAUCGGAAACUGUCAUUCUUGAGUGCAGAAGAGGAGAGUGGAAUUCCAUGUGUAGCGGUGGAAUGCGUAGAUAUAUGGAAGAACACCAGUGGCGAAGGCGGCUCUCUGGUCUGCAACUGACGCUGAGGCUCGAAAGCAUGGGUAGCGAACAGG
This 429-nucleotide ribosomal RNA is filed under the name bacterium. Its description in RNAcentral is "partial 16S ribosomal RNA". It matches the Rfam family "Bacterial small subunit ribosomal RNA", at positions 355 to 776 of the family's 1533-position model. The record is from RNAcentral.